This 429-nucleotide ribosomal RNA is filed under the name Chloroflexota bacterium. RNAcentral describes it as "Chloroflexi bacterium partial 16S ribosomal RNA". It matches the Rfam family "Bacterial small subunit ribosomal RNA", at positions 355 to 776 of the family's 1533-position model. Lineage: Bacteria; Bacillati; Chloroflexota. The record is from RNAcentral.
UGGGGAAUAUUGCACAAUGGGCGCAAGCCUGAUGCAGCCAUGCCGCGCGUAUGAAGAAGGCCUUCGGGUUGUAAAGUACUUUCAGCGGGGAGGAAGGGAGUAAAGUUAAUACCUUUGCUCAUUGACGUUACCCGCAGAAGAAGCACCGGCUAACUCCGUGCCAGCAGCCGCGGUAAUACGGAGGGUGCAAGCGUUAAUCGGAAUUACUGGGCGUAAAGCGCACGCAGGCGGUUUGUUAAGUCAGAUGUGAACUCCCCGGGCUCAACCUGUGAACUGCAUCUCAUACUGGCAUCCUUGACUCUCGUAGCCGCCUGUUGACUUCCUUGUUUAGCGGUGACCUGCCUAGCGCUCUCGCGGACUACCGGUCGCUAAGGCGGCCCCCUGUACGACGCCUGACGCUCCGGUGCGCAAGCGUGGGGAGCCAACAGG